This 499-nucleotide ribosomal RNA is filed under the name uncultured bacterium. RNAcentral's name for it is "partial 16S ribosomal RNA". It matches the Rfam family "Bacterial small subunit ribosomal RNA", at positions 28 to 507 of the family's 1533-position model. The record is from RNAcentral.
GACGAACGCUGGCGGCGUGCCUAAUACAUGCAAGUCGAGCGAAGUUUUUCUGGUGCUUGCACCGGAAAAACUUAGCGGCGAACGGGUGAGUAACACGUAAAGAACCUGCCUCAUAGACUGGGACAACUAUUGGAAACGAUAGCUAAUACCGGAUAACAGCAUUAACUGCAUGGUUGAUGUUUAAAAGUCGGAUUUGCUAACACUAUGAGAUGGCUUUGCGGUUCAUUAGCUAGUUGGUGGGGUAAAGGCCUACCAAGGCGACGAUGCAUAGCCGACCUGAGAGGGUGAUCGGCCACACUGGGACUGAGACACGGCCCAGACUCCUACGGGAGGCAGCAGUAGGGAAUCUUCCGCAAUGGGCGAAAGCCUGACGGAGCAACGCCGCGUGAGUGAAGAAGGAUUUCGGUUCGUAAAGCUCUGUUGUUAGGGAAGAAUGAUUGUGUAGUAACUAUACACAGUAGAGACGGUACCUGACCAGAAAGCCACGGCUAACUACGUG